RNAcentral lists this ribosomal RNA (402 nucleotides) under uncultured prokaryote. RNAcentral describes it as "bacterial SSU rRNA". It matches the Rfam family "Bacterial small subunit ribosomal RNA", at positions 355 to 774 of the family's 1533-position model. The record is from RNAcentral.
UGGGGAAUAUUGGACAAUGGGCGAAAGCCUGAUCCAGCAAUGCCGCGUGAGUGAUGAAGGCCUUCGGGUUGUAAAGCUCUUUUACCAGGGAUGAUAAUGACAGUACCUGGAGAAUAAGCUCCGGCUAACUCCGUGCCAGCAGCCGCGGUAAUACGGAGGGAGCUAGCGUUGUUCAGAAUUACUGGGCGUAAAGCGCGCGUAGGCGGCGACUCAAGUCAGAGGUGAAAGCCCGGGGCUCAACCCCGGAACUGCCUUUGAAACUAGGUUGCUAGAAUCUUGGAGAGGUCAGUGGAAUUCCGAGUGUAGAGGUGAAAUUCGUAGAUAUUCGGAAGAACACCAGUGGCGAAGGCGACUGACUGGACAAGUAUUGACGCUGAGGGACGAAAGCGUGGGGAGCAAACA